GGUUGAUCCUGCCAGUAGUCAUAUGCUCGUCUCAAAGAUUAAGCCAUGCAUGUGUAAGUAUAAGCAUUUAUACUGUGAAACUGCGAACGGCUCAUUAAAUCAGUUAUCGUUUAUUUGAUAUUUCCUUACUACAUGGAUAACCGUAGUAAUUCUAGAGCUAAUACAUGCGCAAAAUUUCGAUCCGCAAGGAGAGAAAUGUAUUUAUUAGAUAAAAAACCAAUCCGUGUUCUGCACGGUUUUUUGGUGAUUCAUAAUAACUGUUUCGAAUCGUAUGGCCUUGUGCCGACGAUGU
This 292-nucleotide ribosomal RNA is filed under the name uncultured eukaryote. RNAcentral describes it as "partial 18S ribosomal RNA". It matches the Rfam family "Eukaryotic small subunit ribosomal RNA", at positions 6 to 293 of the family's 1831-position model. The record is from RNAcentral.